This 90-nucleotide ribosomal RNA is filed under the name Clostridioides sp. ES-S-0048-02. Lineage: Bacteria; Bacillati; Bacillota; Clostridia; Peptostreptococcales; Peptostreptococcaceae. RNAcentral also lists the same sequence under 3 other names. The record is from RNAcentral.
UGUGGUUACAAUAGCAGAGAGGAUACACCUGUUCCCAUUCCGAACACAGAAGUUAAGCUCUCUAGCGCUGAUGGUACUUGGUGGGAAACU